Molecule: ribosomal RNA, 442 nt
Filed under: Sphedanus cf. banna PS111
Lineage: Eukaryota; Metazoa; Arthropoda; Arachnida; Araneae; Pisauridae
Description: partial 16S ribosomal RNA
Source: RNAcentral
UUCUAUUAGAAAUAACAUUAAUAGUAAAAUCUGCUCAAUGAUAAAUUAAAUAGCCGCAUUCGUGCUAAGGUAGCAUAAUAAUUUGUCUUUUAAUUGAAGACUAGAAUAAAAGAUUUAACUUUUAAAUUCAUUUCUUACAUUUAUAUAUAUAAAUUAUUCUAAAUGUAAAAAAACAUUUAUAAAAAAGAAAGACGAUAAGACCCUAUUGAACUUCACUUUAGUUUUAACUGGGGCAGUUAAUUAAUUAUAAUUUUAAUUUUAAUUAAUUCUAUAAACUUGACCUAAUAAAAUUAAUCUAUUAAUCAAGUUACCAUAGGGAUAACAGCGUAAUAAAAUUUUAAAGACCUUAUUAAAAAUAUAGAUUGCGACCUCGAUGUUGAAUAAUAUUCUAAUUCACGCAAUAGUCAAUUAAGAAAGUCUGUUCGACUUUUAAAAAAUUACA